RNAcentral lists this ribosomal RNA (931 nucleotides) under uncultured bacterium. RNAcentral's name for it is "bacterial SSU rRNA". It matches the Rfam family "Bacterial small subunit ribosomal RNA", at positions 8 to 918 of the family's 1533-position model. The record is from RNAcentral.
AGAGUUUGAUCAUGGCUCAGAACGAACGCUGGCGGCGUGCCUAACACAUGCAAGUCGUACGAGAAAUCCUGGGCAACUGGGAGAGUAAAGUGGCGCACGGGUGAGUAACGCGUGGGUAACCUACCCUUGAAUUGGGGAUAACUCCUCGAAAGGGGAGUUAAUACCGAAUAAUAUUCCGAUGCCUUCGGGUGUUGGAAUCAAAGAUGGCCUCUGCAUGCAAGCUAUCGUUUAAGGAUGGGCCCGCGUACCAUUAGCUAGUUGGCAGGGUAAUGGCCUACCAAGGCAACGAUGGUUAGCUGGUCUGAGAGGAUGGCCAGCCACACUGGAACUGAGACACGGUCCAGACUCCUACGGGAGGCAGCAGUGGGGAAUCUUGCGCAAUGGGGGAAACCUUGACGCAGCAACGCCGCGUGGGUGAUGAAGGCCUUCGGGUCGUAAAGCCCUGUCAGGUGGGAAGAAACUUGUGGACGUUAAUACCAUCCACACUUGACGGUACCACCGGAGGAAGCACCGGCUAACUCCGUGCCAGCAGCCGCGGUAAUACGGAGGGUGCAAGCGUUGUUCGGAAUUACUGGGCGUAAAGCGCGUGUAGGCGGUUGGGCAAGUCAGAUGUGAAAGCCUUCUGCUUAACAGAAGAAGUGCAUUUGAAACUACCCGGCUAGAGUACGAGAGAGGAGAGUGGAAAUUCCCGGUGUAGAGGUGAAAUUCGUAGAUAUCGGGAGGAACACCAGUGGCGAAGGCGGCUCUCUGGCUCGAUACUGACGCUGAGACGCGAAAGCGUGGGGAGCAAACAGGAUUAGAUACCCUGUAGUCCACGCCCUAAACGAUGGGCACUAGUGUAGGAGGUAUUGACCCCUUCUGUGCCGAAGCUACGCAUUAAGUGCCCCGCCUGGGGAGUACGGCCGCAAGCUAAACUCAAGGAAUGACGAUC